GACGAACGCUGGCGGCGUGCUUAACACAUGCAAGUCGAACGCUGAAGCUCAGCUUUUGUUGGGUGGAUGAGUGACGAACGGGUGAGUAACACGUGAGUAACCUGCCCCCUUCUUUGGGAUAACGCCCGGAAACGGGUGCUAAUACUGGAUAUUCACUGGUCUUCGCAUGGGGGUUGGUGGAAAGGGUUUUUCUGGUGGGGGAUGGGCUCGCGGCCUAUCAGCUUGUUGGUGGGGUGAUGGCCUACCAAGGCUUUGACGGGUAGCCGGCCUGAGAGGGUGACCGGUCACAUUGGGACUGAGAUACGGCCCAGACUCCUACGGGAGGCAGCAGUGGGGAAUAUUGCACAAUGGGCGCAAGCCUGAUGCAGCGACGCCGCGUGAGGGAUGGAGGCCUUCGGGUUGUGAACCUCUUUCGCUCAUGGUCAAGCCGCAACAAUGGUUGUGGUGAGGGUAGUGGGUAAAGAAGCGCCGGCUAACUACGUG
RNAcentral lists this ribosomal RNA (483 nucleotides) under uncultured bacterium. RNAcentral describes it as "partial 16S ribosomal RNA". It matches the Rfam family "Bacterial small subunit ribosomal RNA", at positions 28 to 507 of the family's 1533-position model. The record is from RNAcentral.